RNAcentral lists this ribosomal RNA (256 nucleotides) under uncultured Gardnerella sp. Its description in RNAcentral is "partial 16S ribosomal RNA". It matches the Rfam family "Bacterial small subunit ribosomal RNA", at positions 99 to 355 of the family's 1533-position model. Lineage: Bacteria; Bacillati; Actinomycetota; Actinomycetes; Bifidobacteriales; Bifidobacteriaceae. The record is from RNAcentral.
CGAACGGGUGAGUAAUGCGUGACCAACCUGCCCCAUGCUCCAGAAUAGCUCUUGGAAACGGGUGGUAAUGCUGGAUGCUCCAACUUGACGCAUGUCUUGUUGGGAAAGUGUUUAGUGGCAUGGGAUGGGGUCGCGUCCUAUCAGCUUGUAGGCGGGGUAAUGGCCCACCUAGGCUUCGACGGGUAGCCGGCCUGAGAGGGCGGACGGCCACAUUGGGACUGAGAUACGGCCCAGACUCCUACGGGAGGCAACAGCU